AAGCAAUUAUACCGUGAAACUGCGAAUGGCUCAUUAAAUCAGUUAUCGUUUAUUUGAUAGUACCUUACUACUUGGAUAACCGUGGUAAUUCUAGAGCUAAUACAUGCUAAAAACCCCAACUUCGGGAGGGGUGUAUUUAUUAGAUAAAAAACCAACGCCCUUCGGGGCUUCUUGGUGAUUCAUGAUAACUUUACGGAUCGCAUGGCCUUGCGCCGGCGACGGUUCAUUCAAAUUUCUGCCCUAUCAACUUUCGAUGGUAAGGUAUUGGCUUACCAUGGUUUCAACGGGUAACGGGGAAUUAGGGUUCGAUUCCGGAGAGGGAGCCUGAGAAACGGCUACCACAUCCAAGGAAGGCAGCAGGCGCGCAAAUUACCCAAUCCCGACACGGGGAGGUAGUGACAAUAAAUACUGAUACAGGGCUCUUUUGGGUCUUGUAAUUGGAAUGAGUACAAUUUAAACCUCUUAACGAGGAACAAUUGGAGGGCAAGUCUGGUGCCAGCAGCCGCGGUAAUUCCAGCUCCAAUAGCGUAUAUUAAAGUUGUUGCAGUUAAAAAGCUCGUAGUUGAAACUUGGGUCUGGCUGGCAGGUCCGCCUCACCGCGUGUACUUGUCCGGCCGGGCCUUCCUUCUGGAGAACCUCAUGCCCUUCACUGGGCGUGUUGGGGACCAGGACUUUUACUUUGAAAAAAUUAGAGUGUUCAAAGCAGGCCUUUGCUCGAAUACGUUAGCAUGGAAUAAUAGAAUAGGACGUGCGGUCCUAUUUUGUUGGUUUCUAGGACCGCCGUAAUGAUUAAUAGGGACAGUCGGGGGCAUCAGUAUUCAAUUGUCAGAGGUGAAAUUCUUGGAUUUAUUGAAGACUAACUACUGCGAAAGCAUUUGCCAAGGAUGUUUUCAUUAAUCAGUGAACGAAAGUUAGGGGAUCGAAGACGAUCAGAUACCGUCGUAGUCUUAACCGUAAACUAUGCCGACUAGGGAUCGGGCGAUGUUCUUUUUCUGACUCGCUCGGCACCUUACGAGAAAUCAAAGUUUUUGGGUUCUGGGGG
RNAcentral lists this ribosomal RNA (1042 nucleotides) under Phaeosphaeria epicalamia. Its description in RNAcentral is "SSU rRNA". It matches the Rfam family "Eukaryotic small subunit ribosomal RNA", at positions 67 to 1120 of the family's 1831-position model. The record is from RNAcentral. Lineage: Eukaryota; Fungi; Ascomycota; Dothideomycetes; Pleosporales; Phaeosphaeriaceae.